This is a small nucleolar RNA of Bombus huntii, 215 nucleotides long. RefSeq annotates it as small nucleolar RNA U3. Lineage: Eukaryota; Metazoa; Arthropoda; Insecta; Hymenoptera; Apidae. The record is from RefSeq and is a predicted model, not a curated record. The transcript has a single exon.
AGAAUCAUACUUUUCAGGAUCAUUUUUGUAGUAAAUGAUCAAUGAACAUCAGCUAAUUGAUGAAUCGAUUCAGCCAUGAUGACGAGUCAUGGCACCCUUUCCUGAGCGUGAGGAAGACUCGAGAAGUUGACUUUGUCUCACUUUCUCAGUCAUCGAUGAUCGUUCACCCCAUGCACUUAGUACAUGGGGGAUGGAAAGGGUGCUUUCUGAGUGGU